GAGGGACCCUGGCCUCGGGGGAGAAAGCCUCCCGGGCGGCGCUUCCCUUCUCCUCCCGCUUCCCGACCCCUUCCUCCUCCUCCUCCUCCUCCUCCAUGGAGGGCAGUAUAAGGGCCAGGCUUUGCUCGCACUGGGGAAGCGACCCCCUUGUUGUGCUGCCGCCGGCCAUGUGGCUCCUGCGGCUCUGCCUCUUCGCCCUGACGGGAGCCGGACCUCUGGCCGGACCGACGCCGAGGGGCCCAACCACGCCGGGCCCGAGCCCUUCCGCCUUUGCCCAGUGCCUGGAAGGGGCCUGCUUCGCCUUGUUUUGGGCGCCUCGGACUUUCCCUGAGGCCAGCCUGGAGUGCCAAGCCAACGGCGGCCACCUCAUGAGCGUCCGCUCCACCGUGGCCGCCGAGGCCAUCGCCCUCCUCUUCCAGAGGGGCUCCGCAGCGGGGAGGGCUUGGCUGGGCUUGCGGCUGCCGGAGGGCUCCUGUCGGGAGGCGGGGAAGCGUCUGAGAGGCUUCCAGUGGGUCUCCGGCGAGGAGCGGAGCGACUACGCGGCCUGGGCCGACUCCGUUGGGGCAGAGGAGGACCCUCUUUGUGGGGGAGCCCCCCUUUGCGUGGUAGUAACCCCGGGGCUGCUGUGGGAGGAGCAGCGCUGCCAGUCUCCCGCCGAGGGCUUCCUCUGCGAGUACAGCUACCCAGGCGGCACCUGCGGCCCCUUGAACCCAGGACCCGCCGCCUCGGAGCAGGAAGAGGAGGAGGAGAUGCUGGUGGUCUACCGGACCCCCUUCGGCGCCCGGGAGAGCGACCUUCUGGCCUUGCCCCCCGGGAGCAGCGCCCUUCUGCCCAACCUGGGCCUCUCCCUCGAGUGCAGGCCCCAGCCAGAGGGCUCUCCCAAGUGGGCCUCCGCUUCCCGGGGGGCCUGGGACUGUCGGCUGGAGAACGGCGGCUGCCAGGGCCACUGCCACUCCGGCGGAGAACAAGGGCAGCCUUACUGCUCCUGCCCCGAGGGCAGCGCUUUGCUGGAGGAGGACCGACGGGGCUGCGGCUCCCCUUGCGCCCUUUUGGGCUGCGAACACCACUGCGUCCCCGAGGGCCCCUCUUCUUCCUCGGCCAGCUGCAUGUGCUGGGAAGGGUUCGCCUUAGCCGAGGACGGCCGGCGCUGCCUCGACGUCGACGACUGCCAAGCCGAGCCGGGCCCCUGCGAGCAGGAGUGCCUCAACACGGAGGGGGGCUUCCGCUGCCUCUGCUUCCCGGGCUUCGAGGAGGUGGAAGGCAAGUGCCAGGCGGUGCCCAACUGGGGCUGCUUCGACCUGGGCUGCCAGCAGGACUGCGCCGUCGUCGGAGGGAGCCCCCGCUGCCUCUGCUUCGAGGGCUACGCGCCGGACCCCGAGAAGCCCCAGCAGUGCCUCAUGGUCUGCAACCAGAGCCAGUGCCCGCCCCGAUGCGACCCCCACACCGGCCACGACUGCCACUGCCCUAACGGCUUCAUCCUCGACGUGAGAGACGACGACAGCAAAGUCUGCGAAGACAUCAGUGAAUGUGACUCCGGCUACUGCGGGGAACUGGAGUGUGUCAACACCCCAGGCAGCUACUACUGCCUCUGCCCCAAUGGACACUUUGUCCAAGAUGCCAAACUGUGUGAGGAACCAGAAGGGGACAUAGAAGGGUCUGGGGAGAUUGACUUGGACCCCAGGAGCCCAGUUGCCACCCUGGUGCCGCCAAAGGAAGGCAGUCGCCGAGGGAUGCUGGUGGGCACCAUUGUGAGUGCCACCUUGAUGGGGGUGGUGCUAGUCGCCAUCCUGGGCUACUUGGUCAAGAAGCAUCGCUCUGCCCAGUCCAGAAAGGGUGGCACAUGCCAGCAACCUGAGUCUGGGGUGGUGCUGCAGCAUGUCAGCUCAAACAGUGCUUCUCCUGGGCUGAAAAUGUAGCAAGAGGCUUUCUGUUUGAGAGGGGAUGGGAGAGGGUUUAAAAACAAAAACUGAAAAACCCACAAAAAACUAUGGAUGCCAUCCAUGAAAGCCUUUGCCUGGAUCAGAGUAGUUACCAGUUCCAAGGACAAUCCCAGUGCAGAUGUUAUUUUUGUAAUGGCUCUCUGAGGGAACAGUGGAGACAGUUUCCUCCUGAACUUCCUGGAAGUUGUUCCCAGUCCUGGACUGAAAGUAGUGUGGGACUGGAUAAGGUUCGCAAGGGAAGAAACAAGAUGCAGCAGAACAGCAUUCAGACUGCAUUCAGCUAUAACAUUUGUGAUUUGGUUUUUUUUAUCGCCGGGAUGCGUUCAGGCUUCAAAAAUCAAAUUUCUCAUAUACAAACACCCCAAGAUCCACCAAGAAUGUAGUUGAAGACAUGCCUUGAAUAGUUCAGAGCCUGGAGAUUUGCACCAGAACUGAACAGAGCUCACAGUUCCUCUGCCUCAAUCUUCGUUUUCUUUUUUUCCAUUAAUAUAAUUUAAAAGUUGGGAGAGCUAACUUUGUUCCUUCCUUCCUUCCUUCCUUCCUUCCUUCUUUCUUUCUUUUGCUGUUGUUAAAACAAUUGGGAGCCAAAAUGUUUGUGGAUCUGCAGAUUCUCCAUGCAUCCUAGACCUUUGAUCUACCUUCUGUCCACCCCUGAUCUAUCAAAGACAAUGUUAUACCAACAUUUAAAACUGAGGAAACCUGGUGAUCUGGAACAGCUAAUAAUAGCCCCUUCUUCUAAAACUGACUUUUGUGAGGAGCUCUCUUGUUCUCCCCAAAAACAUUUUAAAACCAAGGUGUUUGCAAUAUCCAUAGUUUAAUAUUCUAUGCAAUGUUCCUGGCAUGUUUUGAGUCUCCUUCGGGCAUCUGAAAUAAGUAAUUGCCUGCAAAGUUUGUGUCAAAUCAACCAUCUCGGAUCAACAACACACACUACUGAAAGAUUGACAACACUACUGACAAAUAUGAAGCUGCUCCCCAUGUACAGAAAUAGGUGUCACACAGGAGAUUGCCAUUAUUAGGUUGUACACCAAGUUUGUACCCUGCCACAGUGGGUUUAUGUAUUUGGCGCUCUAGGCAGCACAUCUGCUUUACUGCAGUGUUUGUACUUUUUCCAUUAUGUCAUCCCAAUGAAAUCCCUAUUUCCCCUUUUCAGUUUCAGGCUGUUUUAUUUGUUCUGUGGCAGAUUACUCUAAUUCUGAGAUUUAGAAACAAAAGCUGCUCAUUCCCAGUCUUGGAUCACGUUCCGGUUGGCAUUCAGACACUUUAAUUUGGCUGGAUUAAAUUCCUUUGCUAUGAUGCUUUUUAAUUUUCCUGUUACGAAGAAGCCUUCAGUGGAAAUACAACCAUGUCCUUUCCUUUGCUUUUCAGUAUUAUGUUGGGGAACUCUUGAAAACAAUGGUUUAAUGAUCCCAAAAGGGUCCUUCUUGUUUUUGUAAGCGAGAUAGAAGUAUGUGUACGGUGAGGUUUAAAACUCAUUUUAAACCUAAGGGUAUCAAUUCAAUUUCAGAACAAAGUCUGCUAAGGUUAAGCACUUUGGGGGGAGUUAAGUGUAUCCUGAACUUCCAGGCCUAGAACUUCAUUUAAACUAGUUUCUUCUGAGAUCUUUGUCAUCUCAAGUGCUGCAGUUGCCUCCUUGAAAUGUUACCAUAAAUCUUGAACACUAUAAAACUGGCAUUUUUGAUGCUGAAAGAUGUGACUGUUUUUUUUUUAAAUCACUGUUUUAAAAAAUGUGGGAUGAAUGCGAAGAAUAUUUUUCAUCAUGUCUUGUAAAUUAUGCACAGUUGUAAGUAUUUAUUUAUUUAUGGGAAACAUAUCAUUGCAAAACCAUUUUGCCCUUUCAUAUGUGGAUAAUAAAAUGCAUAUAUAUAUAAGAUUCCAGUGUGGAAAGUUCUUGCCUUCCAGUGUUAA
Sceloporus undulatus (fence lizard) is the source of this 3845-nucleotide RNA transcript. It is a transcript of the gene named thrombomodulin, with no coding region annotated. The transcript has 2 exons. The record is from RefSeq and is a predicted model, not a curated record. Lineage: Eukaryota; Metazoa; Chordata; Lepidosauria; Squamata; Phrynosomatidae.